Molecule: long non-coding RNA, 574 nt
Organism: Nilaparvata lugens (brown planthopper)
Lineage: Eukaryota; Metazoa; Arthropoda; Insecta; Hemiptera; Delphacidae
Exons: 2
Source: RefSeq, a predicted model, not a curated record
UUCCCAAGGUCACGUGACAUGUUUAGUAUUGGCGUCAUGUAAGAAGCAUUGGUUAGAUAAGCGUUUGAUUACGUUUCCAUUCUGUACCUAUUCUGUGUGUGUGCUACUUUUGGUAUUUACUUAACUGUAGCCUGUAGUAGCGUAAUAAUAAUCAAAUUGCUUGUAUUUUUUUAAAGCAAUAAUGAUUGAAUAACAAUCUAAAUUAAAUUAAAUUAUUAAUACAUAUGACCUCUGAAUUCAUGAAAUAAUUGAUGAAGAAGGCUACCUUGGGGCUGGUGGCAGCUGCUGCUGUGACUAGCAGUUUGGCAUCGAUCUGCUGCGCCUUGGUGUAGAGCAUGACUCCGAGGAUGACAGUGCAGGUGCCCAGCCCACUCAGCACCGUCACAGGGUUGUCGAACAGCACCACCGACAGCCAAAUCAGGAAUGCUCUCUUCGCUGUAUUCGCCACACUAACACAAUUACAUCAAUAUUAAAUCUUUCUACUCUCCAGAUAGUCGUUUGCAAUACCUAUAAUAUACACUUUUUUAAUAAAUUGUAUCAAUUUCUCAAAAAUAUAAUACGAAUAUAAAUUGAA